GACGAACGCUGGCGGCGUGCCUAAUACAUGCAAGUUGAGCGCUGAAGGUUGGUACUUGUACCAACUGGAUGAGCAGCGAACGGGUGAGUAACGCGUGGGGAAUCUGCCUUUGGGCGGGGGACAACAUUUGGAAACGAAUGCUAAUACCGCAUAAAAACUUUAAACACAAGUUUUAAGUUUGAAAGAUGCAAUUGCAUCACUCAAAGAUGAUCCCGCGUUGUAUUAGCUAGUUGGUGAGGUAAAGGCUCACCAAGGCGAGGAUACAUAGCCGACCUGAGAGGAUGAUCGGCCACAUUGGGACUGUGACACGCCCCAUACGCCUACGGGAGGCAGCAGUAGGGAAUCGUCGGCAAUGGACGAAAGUCUGACCGAGCAACGCGGCGUGAGUGAAGAAGGUUUUCGGAUCGUAGAACUCUGUUGGUAGAGAAGAACGUUGGUGAGAGUGGAAAGCUCAUCAAGUGACGGUAACUACCCAGAAAGGGACGGCUAACUACGUG
This 497-nucleotide ribosomal RNA is filed under the name uncultured bacterium. RNAcentral's name for it is "partial 16S ribosomal RNA". It matches the Rfam family "Bacterial small subunit ribosomal RNA", at positions 28 to 507 of the family's 1533-position model. The record is from RNAcentral.